Molecule: ribosomal RNA, 590 nt
Filed under: Carabus ghiliani
Lineage: Eukaryota; Metazoa; Arthropoda; Insecta; Coleoptera; Carabidae
Description: LSU rRNA
Rfam family: Bacterial large subunit ribosomal RNA
Source: RNAcentral
UUUUAAAUGGCCGCAGUAUUUUGACUGUGCAAAGGUAGCAUAAUCAUUAGUUUUUUAAUUAAAAGCUUGUAUGAAAGGCUGGACGAGGUAAAAUCUGUCUCUAUUUAAAUUAUAAUAGAAUUUAACUUUUAAGUUAAAAGGCUUAAAUACUAUUAAAAGACGAGAAGACCCUAUAGAUCUUUAUAGUUUAUUAAAUGAAAUUAAUUUAGAAAUAUUUAUGUUUUAUUUAGUUAAAUUAUUUUAUUGGGGUAAUAAAAAGAUUGUGUUAAUUCUUUUUUACAAUAAACAUUAAUUUAUGAAUAUUAAUGAUCCAGUUUUACUGAUUAUAAGAUUAAGUUACCUUAGGGAUAACAGCGUAAUUUUUUUAGAGAGUUCAUAUCGAUAAAAAAGUUUGCGACCUCGAUGUUGGAUUAAAGAUUAUUUUAGGUGUAGAAGCUUAAUAAUUUUGGUCUGUUCGACCAUUAAAUCUUUACAUGAUCUGAGUUCAGACCGGCGUAAGCCAGGUCGGUUUCUAUCUUUAAUAAAAUAAAAUAUUUUAGUACGAAAGGACCAAAUAUUUGAUAUAUUUAUAUUUAAUUUAUUGAAUAUUA